CGCGUAGGUGGUAGUGCAAGUCUGAGGUGGAAUCUUAGGGCUUAACCCUAAAAUUGCCUUGGAAACUGCAUUACUUGAGUCAGUGAGGGGAGGGUAGAAUUCCUGGUGUAGCGGUGAAAUGCGUAGAUAUCAGGAGGAAGGCCGGUGGCGAAGGCGGCCCUCUGGCGCUGAACUGACACUGAGGCGCGAAAGCGUGGGUAGCAAACAGGAUUAGAUACCCUGGUAGUCCACGCCCUAAACGGUGGGCACUAGGUGUAGGGCUCGUAAGGGUUCUGUGCCGAAGCGAAAGCAUUAAGUGCCCCGCCUGGGGAGUACGGCCGCGAGGUUGAA
This 330-nucleotide ribosomal RNA is filed under the name uncultured bacterium. RNAcentral describes it as "bacterial SSU rRNA". It matches the Rfam family "Bacterial small subunit ribosomal RNA", at positions 568 to 898 of the family's 1533-position model. The record is from RNAcentral.